GUGCAAGAGCGGUUUUUGAAGACGUUCAGGGUAGGAAGCCAGCAGCCA
This 48-nucleotide non-coding RNA is filed under the name Karenia brevis. Lineage: Eukaryota; Dinophyceae; Gymnodiniales; Kareniaceae. The record is from RNAcentral.